ACAAGAAGAUCAAACAACUAAAGGCGAGCAUGAGGCUGAUUAUCAAUACAUUAUUCAAAAAGCAAAAUUCACUGCCAACUAUUUAAACAAACAGAGGAAACACCACAGGCUCCUGCCACCGGAAAACCUGGAUUCAAGAACACCAAAAUGCAAAAGAUUGACACACAGUCAACAAAUCGGGAGGUCUGCAGCACGAGUGUCGAUCACGGGGGCUGAGAGAGAGAAUCAGCGCAUCUGUGUCUUCUUAUAUCCGCUCCCACUCAUCACACCAAGCAGGUUCACCUGAGACACCUGGGGAGGAACCUACCAGAGAGAGACACACAGCAGAAGACACAGGACACAGGACACACCCACACCCACAGCCCUAACAUAAAAUAUGACAUUUUCAACAUCCUAUAUUAUGGCAUUUUGAUCGGACAAUACUAUGGCAUGUUUUUUCAUCCUAAAAUCAGGAAUUCUUUUUCACCAUAAGAUCUGAAAUUUUGAUCCUAGGACAUUAUGACAUUUUUUCGGACUCAAAUAAUCUUUUUUUCCUACUAAAAUAUGACAUUUUUAACAUCCUAAACUAUGGCAUUUUGUUCAGAGAAUACUAUGGCAUGUUUUUUAAUCCAAAAAUAAAAAAAAAAUUUCACCUAAAAU
This 639-nucleotide long non-coding RNA is filed under the name Xyrichtys novacula (pearly razorfish). Lineage: Eukaryota; Metazoa; Chordata; Actinopteri; Labriformes; Labridae. The record is from RNAcentral.